Molecule: ribosomal RNA, 486 nt
Filed under: uncultured bacterium
Lineage: Bacteria
Description: partial 16S ribosomal RNA
Rfam family: Bacterial small subunit ribosomal RNA
Source: RNAcentral
AUCGAACGCUGGCGGCAUGCCUUACACAUGCAAGUCGAACGGCAGCACGGGUGCUUGCACCUGGUGGCGAGUGGCGAACGGGUGAGUAAUACAUCGGAACAUGUCCUGUAGUGGGGGAUAGCCCGGCGAAAGCUGGAUUAAUAUCGCAUACGACCCACGGAUGAAAGCGGGGGACCUUCUGGUCUCGCGCGAUUGGGUUGGCCGACGGCUGAUUAGCUAGUUGGUGGGGUAAAGGCCUACCAAGGCGACGAUCAGUAGCUGGUCUGAGAGGACGACCAGCCACACUGGGAGUGAGACACGGCCCCGACGCCUACGAGAGGCAGCAGUGGGGAAUGUUGGACAAUGGGCGGAAGCCUGAUCCAGCAAUGCCGCGUGUGUGAAGAAGGCCUUCGGGUUGUAAAGCACUUUUGUCCGGAAAGAAAUCCUUGGCUCUAAUACAGUCGGAGAAUGACGGUACCGGAAGAAUAAGCACCGGCUAACUACGUG